CACAAGAUCAGUAAUCUUAAGAUAUGACAACAGUCAAGACAGUCUUUCAGGUUUCUGUGCUAAAAUAUGCAAUGUGUAAAAUAAUGUAAAUCCUCAUUAGGAAACAACACAAACGAGACAGUUGUAGGAAAAAAAAAUAC
Long non-coding RNA from Sinocyclocheilus anshuiensis, 140 nucleotides. RefSeq lists it as uncharacterized. The record is from RefSeq and is a predicted model, not a curated record. The transcript has 3 exons. NCBI's taxonomy places the organism in Eukaryota, Metazoa, Chordata, Actinopteri, Cypriniformes, Cyprinidae.